Long non-coding RNA from Salvelinus sp. IW2-2015, 815 nucleotides. RefSeq lists it as uncharacterized. The record is from RefSeq and is a predicted model, not a curated record. Lineage: Eukaryota; Metazoa; Chordata; Actinopteri; Salmoniformes; Salmonidae.
CUAGUAUCUACGUACAGGGUGACGUAUUGACAACGUCUAAAAGAGGGUUGGGUAUCAUCUAUAAAACUCCACCAGCUAACCUCCGCCUGCCAUCGCACCCCCGCACGCCACUACACGCCCUACCACUGCUUCUCAACAUCGGGCAACCUUGGCACGCCACGUCCAGAGAGAGAGGGGAGAAAGAAGAGGAGAUAUCCUAUCAACUAUCUGACCUUGAAUAAAGGUACAGCAAAAUGACAGACUUACACUGCCAGAUGCUGCUGUUCCUUGGAAUUCAUAUGUUGCAGUCAGCAGGUACCUCUAGCCCGAGGACAACAAUCUGAAACAGACCAUUCAAGGAGGUUCCUCCUUCAAUCCAGACAGUCGUUGAGUCUACAACACCUCAUUAAAUCAUUCUCAGUAUUCACUCCUCUCUCUGUUAUCAUCUCAUAUGAAAACUGGUGAUUUUUAAUAGAGCAUAUUAUUAUAUUAUUAUUGUAAUUAUCUGGUUAUAAAGGCCUGAUCUGUCAGCCCAGAGAGAUCUGAGUCCUCCACUGGUCACUUCAUUAACACACUACAGACACGUAUGGUCCUGGACCGCCAUCGCGGAGGAGGAUACGCACCCGUGCGGGAUUCCCUUUGUGAGAUCCAAUUAAAAGUCCCAUUGACAUUCCGGUCCUGCGUGGCAGUAUGAUAUCAGUAUGAUAGCUAUAACAGCAGGAACAAUUAAAAAUGUGAUUAUCUUGGACUGUGUUACAUUAUAUUGUGAUUAUAUUAGCCACUGGGUGGUAUGACAUUGGACGCUCAUCCAGUGUCCCACCCAGACACUGUCGAAA